UGGUCCUACGGGAGGCAGCAGUGGGGAAUAUUGCACAAUGGGGGAAACCCUGAUGCAGCGACGCCGCGUGGGUGAAGAAGUAUUUCGGUACGUAAAGCUCUAUCAGCAGGGAAGAAAUAAAGUCCUUCGGACUCUGGACGGUACCUGACUAAGAAGCCCCGGCUAACUACGUGCCAGCAGCCGCGGUAAUACGUAGGGGGCAAGCGUUAUCCGGAUUUACUGGGUGUAAAGGGAGCGUAGACGGCAGCGCAAGUCUGGAGUGAAAUCCCAUGUCUUAACCAUGGAACUACUUUGGAAACUG
Molecule: ribosomal RNA, 301 nt
Filed under: uncultured bacterium
Lineage: Bacteria
Description: bacterial SSU rRNA
Rfam family: Bacterial small subunit ribosomal RNA
Source: RNAcentral